RNAcentral lists this long non-coding RNA (340 nucleotides) under Brassica rapa (field mustard). RNAcentral's name for it is "long non-coding RNA (BRAP_LNC001512)". The record is from RNAcentral. Lineage: Eukaryota; Viridiplantae; Streptophyta; Magnoliopsida; Brassicales; Brassicaceae.
AAGGCUUUAGUCUCCGAUGUCCGGAGGCCAAUGUAUUAUAGAAUCGGAAUUGCAUCCUCAAACUUACGUUUAACCGGUUUAUCCAACCUGUUUGGUUAAAAUUUAUAAAUAGCCGGUCUAAUUGUUUAACUGAAACGAUGUAAUUAAAUGUAUUACACUUUUACUUUGAAUCGGCUUAAGAUUAUCUACAACUAGAUAUAAGCCCGUGCAUUGCAACGGGUUUUGUUUGAUGUUUUAAUUUAAUAAAGAAAUAAAAGUAAUAAAUCAUUUUAUUAUAUGUUUAGGAUUGUUUUUGCAUAUGUUGUGUGAAACUUAUUUUAUAAUUAAGAACUCGUUUUUG